RNAcentral lists this ribosomal RNA (1099 nucleotides) under uncultured bacterium. RNAcentral's name for it is "bacterial SSU rRNA". It matches the Rfam family "Bacterial small subunit ribosomal RNA", at positions 28 to 1124 of the family's 1533-position model. The record is from RNAcentral.
GAUGAACGCUAGCGGCAGGCUUAACACAUGCAAGUCGAGGGGCAGCAUAAUGGUAGUAAUACUAUUGAUGGCGACCGGCGGACGGGUGCGUAACGCGUAUGCAACCUACCCUUUACAGGGGGAUAACACUGAGAAAUCGGUACUAAUACCCCAUAAUAUUCUGGGAGGCAUCUUUCGGAGUUGAAAGCUUUGGUGGUAAAGGAUGGGCAUGCGUUGUAUUAGCUAGUUGGUAAGGUAACGGCUUACCAAGGCGACGAUACAUAGGGGGACUGAGAGGUUAACCCCCCACAUUGGUACUGAGACACGGACCAAACUCCUACGGGAGGCAGCAGUGAGGAAUAUUGGUCAAUGGACGGAAGUCUGAACCAGCCAUGCCGCGUGCAGGAAGACGGCUCUAUGAGUUGUAAACUGCUUUUGUACGAGGGUAAACGCAGAUACGUGUAUCUGCCUGAAAGUAUCGUACGAAUAAGGAUUGGCUAACUCCGUGCCAGCAGCCGCGGUAAUACGGAGGAUCCAAGCGUUAUCCGGAUUUAUUGGGUUUAAAGGGUGCGUAGGCGGUUUAGUAAGUCAGCGGUGAAAUUUUGGUGCUUAACACCAAACGUGCCGUUGAUACUGCUGGGCUAGGGAGUAGUUGCGGUAGGCGGAAUGUAUGGUGUAGCGGUGAAAUGCUUAGAGAUCAUACAGAACACCGAUUGCGAAGGCAGCUUACCAAACUAUAUCUGACGUUGAGGCACGAAAGCGUGGGGAGCAAACAGGAUUAGAUACCCUGGUAGUCCACGCAGUAAACGAUGAUAGCUCGUUGUCGGCGAUACACAGUCGGUGACUAAGAGAAAUCGAUAAGCUAUCCACCUGGGGAGUACGUUCGCAAGAAUGAAACUCAAAGGAAUUGACGGGGGCCCGCACAAGCGGAGGAACAUGUGGUUUAAUUCGAUGAUACGCGAGGAACCUUACCCGGGCUUGAAAGUUACUGACGAUUCUGGAAACAGGAUUUCCCUUCGGGGCAGGAAACUAGGUGCUGCAUGGUUGUCGUCAGCUCGUGCCGUGAGGUGUCGGGUUAAGUCCCAUAACGAGCGCAACCCCUACUGAUAGUUGCCAUCAG